RNAcentral lists this long non-coding RNA (531 nucleotides) under Olea europaea subsp. europaea. Lineage: Eukaryota; Viridiplantae; Streptophyta; Magnoliopsida; Lamiales; Oleaceae. The record is from RNAcentral.
GGAAAAUUUACACCGAUUACGUGCAUAUUAUAUUCACAAAAGCAUACCGUUUAUUUGCGUGAAAUCAAAACGUAAUUUCAACUUACUGAAAUAGGAUUUGAGAAGCAAAACAUAAAAGUUUCCGAAUCUGAAUGCAUGGAUAUGGAUGCAUCCCUUUCGAUUUUUGAACAAAAGCAAGUUAUUCUUUGAAUCAAACCUUGCAGGACAAACAUGUAAAUAAUGUUAAUUAGUUUCUGAAAUCAAAAUAUAAUCAAAAGAAAUCAGAAAAUUGUAGGAAGAAAGAUGCAAAUGAUGAAUUUUUGGUCGAGGCAAGUGUUUGACACUUGGUCCUUGAGAUGAAUUUGCCCUACAUCGGUGCUAACGGGUUUUCGACAAUCAUCUCCCAAGAUAUAACGACCACGUCAAGUCAUAGGAGCACUCCAAAUGGUUUCGACCAACGAACUCAAACGGAAUUCAUUCUCUACUAAGGAAAUGCAUGAAAGUGCUAUGAAAUUAGAAAGGAGGAAAGUGUAAGAGGAUAAUGAAUGUUCA